This 71-nucleotide transfer RNA is filed under the name Marmota monax (woodchuck). Its description in RNAcentral is "tRNA.Ala". Lineage: Eukaryota; Metazoa; Chordata; Mammalia; Rodentia; Sciuridae. The record is from RNAcentral.
GAGGUUGUGGCUCAGUGGUAAAGCACUCACCUGGCAAGUUCGAGGCCCUGGGUUCAAUUUUCAGCACCACA